This 320-nucleotide long non-coding RNA is filed under the name Ananas comosus (pineapple). Its description in RNAcentral is "long non-coding RNA (ACOM_LNC041167)". Lineage: Eukaryota; Viridiplantae; Streptophyta; Magnoliopsida; Poales; Bromeliaceae. The record is from RNAcentral.
CAUGGUAUAUUAAGAUAUGAAAAUUUACCAAAAUGCCCUCGGUGCAAAAAAAAAAAAAAAAAAUUGCCCUCUUGAAGAGUUGACCGGUACCGAUGGUAUCAAAUACCAGUCAUCCUCUUUUAAAGGAUGCAUCUUGACCGUCCAUUUAAAAAAUUUUAAUGGUUAAGAUUUUUUUGAUGUAUAGGAGCAUUGCUCUAACAACUAUCCCCUAACUCUAUUUACCUGUAAACAAAUAAUACACAGUCUAUAUGCAGGAUUUCGGGCGCUCGCCCUAAACUUCGGACACCUGAUCUAUUGUUGGUGUGCCUGGUUGAGAAAUA